AAAUGAAUUGACGGGACCCCGCACAAGCGGUGGAUCAUGUUGUUUAAUUCGAAGAUACGCGAAGAACCUUACCAGGUCUUGACAUCCCCUGCAAUACUAUAGAGAUAUAGUGGAGGUUACCAGGGUGACAGGUGGUGCAUGGUUGUCGUCAGCUCGUGUCGUGAGAUGUUCGGUUAAGUCCGGUAACGAGCGCAACCCUCGUUGUUAGUUGCCAUCAUUAAGUUGGGGACUCUAGCAAGACUGCCAGUGAUAAACUGGAGGAAGGUGGGGAUGACGUCAAAUCAUCAUGCCCCUUAUGACCUGGGCUACAAACGUGAUACAAUGGCUGGAACAAAGGGAUGCGAAGCAGUGAUGCGGAGCGAAACCCAGAAAAACAGUCUCAGUUCGGAUUGAAGUCUGCAACUCGACUUCAUGAAGUUGGAAUCGCUAGUAAUCGUGGAUCAGAACGCCACGGUGAAUACGUUCUCGGGGUUUGUACACACCGCCCGU
Molecule: ribosomal RNA, 489 nt
Filed under: uncultured bacterium
Lineage: Bacteria
Description: bacterial SSU rRNA
Rfam family: Bacterial small subunit ribosomal RNA
Source: RNAcentral